UACGUAGGGUGCGAGCGUUGUCCGGAAUUACUGGGCGUAAAGAGCUCGUAGGUGGUUUGUCGCGUUGUUCGUGAAAACUCACAACUCAAUUGUGGGCGUGCGGGCGAUACGGGCAGACUGGAGUACUGCAGGGGAGACUGGAAUUCCUGGCGUAGCGGUGGAAUGCGCAGAUAUCAGGAGGAACACCGGUGGCGAAGGCGGGUCUCUGGGCAGUAACUGACGCUGAGGAGCGAAAGCGUGGGGAGCGAACAGG
RNAcentral lists this ribosomal RNA (253 nucleotides) under uncultured bacterium. Its description in RNAcentral is "partial 16S ribosomal RNA". It matches the Rfam family "Bacterial small subunit ribosomal RNA", at positions 524 to 776 of the family's 1533-position model. The record is from RNAcentral.